Rhinolophus ferrumequinum (greater horseshoe bat) is the source of this 765-nucleotide long non-coding RNA. The record is from Ensembl. Lineage: Eukaryota; Metazoa; Chordata; Mammalia; Chiroptera; Rhinolophidae.
GUUACCUCAAGUUUGGCUGACUUGAAACAAGCCCCAAAUUGAACCCAACUAAGAGCAAUCUGUCUUUGUUUACAUUUGCACUUCACAGGCAUUGGUGGAACCUGGGUGGUGGACUGUCACUGACCUGUUUUCGAAAUCUACGUACAUGGUUGGAAAAUAACAGAAAACAGUUCAUACAGCUGCCUUCGUUACCAAGACAACAAACAGAAGAAAUAACUGGCUACGUGGCUUUUCUCUUUUUCUGAACUACCUUCCAAAUACUAGUAAUCUCUUCCCUAAAAUCUGUGUAUCUGUUUGAGAUUACUAGUCGAGUAGUUCCUUUUUUUAGCAAGAGUAUGUUGUGCCCCUGAUUAUAGACUGAGAACAGGGAGUUGUAUUUUUUUCCUCAAGUUUUCUUUUAAAUGAUUUUGAAACAUACACAGUUAAUAACACAUUUAUACAUGUUAAGUAUAAGAAUGUAAAACUUUACAGAAGUGUUUAGUGUAAAAAGUGUAAAUUUCUCUUUCGAGAAUCCUUACCUUGACCAAUAUCAACAUAUUAUAGUGAAUAUGAUUCAGUAUAAUUGACUUCGAGUGAAUUUAAGGGCAGCAAUGUAUUCAGCUCAGUAAAAACUACAUGUUCAAUAUAUGUGUUUAAAAAAGCCAAAAAAACAUUAAAACCCUUUAAAAUUUAUAUGAACAAAAUGUGUUUCUUUUAUGAAAUUCAAAAAAAACAAGCAAAAAACAAUACAUAAAUUACCCACAGUUACCACUACCCAGUCACCGC